This is a long non-coding RNA of Haplochromis burtoni (Burton's mouthbrooder), 4697 nucleotides long. RefSeq lists it as uncharacterized. NCBI's taxonomy places the organism in Eukaryota, Metazoa, Chordata, Actinopteri, Cichliformes, Cichlidae. The transcript has 3 exons. The record is from RefSeq and is a predicted model, not a curated record.
CUGAAAAACAGGCUUUAACUGAUGUAGGUUAUACAUAACAAGAUGAAACAAUUAAAAUAAUCUCAUGAGGAAUAAAUCCCAGCGUCAGUCUAAGUUUGUCCUAUGUUAUAUAAAAGUUUGAAAUCCCCUGUGAUAAUGGACAGUGAUUAGAGCAAUGCAUAGAUCUCUUUGCUGAGCGCUCACCUGGCUGUGCAGGGGAUGCACAACAGCCAGGGGCCCACCGCCGUUUUCUUUACAGAGCGUGAAUGAAGGGGGGUUGUUCCCCUCUCACAUGGUAAGCAUGGUAGAAAAUGGAGGAAGACGGAACUGACCGGUUUGAGAGGGCAGACACAGACAGCAGACAUACACUGUACCCACAGCGCUGGAGACAGACCGAGCGGGAGAGACGCUUCAGCUUUAAUAAACAGAAAACACUUGACGCCACUCUCUUUUCAACUCUCAACGCGGAUCAGAUGAUGAUCAGCUGUACCUCAACAAUUACAAAAAAGAAAAGAAGAAGAAAAAAAAUACCCAAGAGCACCAUCUGCAAACAAAAUCCCCCCUCUGUCUUGUCUGGUACUCUAGGGUUGGGUGUUGACGCAGCAGAAAUUUCCAGCUGGAGAAAUCCCCCAAACGGAGGUUAAUCGAGGGGAGAAGGAGGAGGGUUUAAGCCCUUGUCUUCCAGACUCAGAGCGCUUUCAUUUUGAAUCCCCUCCAGACGGCUGUACGGAGCAUCACUCGUAUUUUCUGGAGAGGCUGAAUGGGAAGGCGUGGGAUGCACCAGUCAGGAGAUGGUUUCAUCACGAGCGGGAGCCAGGGGGGUCGCAGUGUGCCGUCCUUCUUGUUGAUCCAUGCUGGUAAGGUUCUCAGACACUCCCUCCUCAGGUCACCGGCUCUGUUUGUCCUAGUCCACCUUUCCUUCUACCCUUUUCCCUCCCACCCCUCCAUCUCCUCUCUUCCUCUCCUCGCCUGACCAGUUCCUCUAAUUUGGUUUCUAAUUUUUGUUCUGCACCUCAUCUCCUCCACCUUCGUCUAUGUGGGGGUAAAGUGCAGCCCCUCCCCUCAGCGGUGUUUGUGUUUUCUCUGUUAAUAUAAUGUGUAUGCGCACUGUGCCCAUGCGGGUUUGUGAGUAAAUCCCCUAAAGUACCUGAGGUUUUUAGCUGUGCGGUCCUUCUUCAAAAUGAUGAUUUAACACUGGUGGCCUUUGGGAAAACACGCUCCACAUAAGACUCCUGGUUAACAUGCUGGGAGAAACAUGUUGGUUUAUAUCAUGUGCAAAAAACCCACACAUCCAAAAGUGCACGCAAACACAAAAAUGAAGAAAAAAGUCAGACUGAACAGACCAAUAAAUAAAAUGUGAGCCUGACUAUGUGUAUGAUGUGUUUUUCUGUGUGUGUGGGUUGUCCAGAUGUUACUCAUGUUGUGGAUCUGUUUAAGCAGACACAUAAUGGGGGUAUGUCUUGGUUAGGGAGUCCCAAUGAUGUAAAUUAUUAAACUGUACAGUGAAGACAUUCACCGUAUAUUAAGUUUAGCGUAAGGUCAGUUUAAGGUGAGGGUUAACCAAGUACCUGCUAUCGUUAAGGUUAGAGAGAAAUCAAAGUAAAGUCAGUAUAUAUCUGUAAUAUGUGUGUUUGUGUGUAUGUGUGCGUUUGCUGGACAGAGAGAAAUUGUGCAUAGCGUGGUAGUAGAGCUUACAGUAAAUGGAGACAUUUAGGAAAGCAGUACACAGACACAAACACGCGGAUCAAAGAGGUUUGAGCAUUACAGUACACUGGGGAACAAAAGGAAUAGAGAGAGGGAGAGAAGAGGAUGUGAGUGAAGGUGAAUAGAAACCCCAAUCAAUAUGGCAUCCAAGAACAGCUUGAGCUAACGAAGGAGCGCAGAAAGCGGGAGAAAGCGAAGAGAGAGAAAAAAGUAGGUCAGAUAAUGAGUGGAGAGGGUGAGUGUUUGUGUGGAGGACAGAAAAAGGGAACAGAGCUGUGAUAGAACAACACUGGGGGUCAGGACAGAGAGGAGAGACCGUGAAUGAGGGAGUCACAAGCUCCUGACCCAUACUGACCUCUCAGCCUGGAGGACCUGAAGAGCUCAGGGCAGGGGAGGGGAUGAGGUGAGGUCUUGUGGGAGGUUUGGAAAAGGACGAGGUGAUAUUGAUGUGGCCAAAACAUCAGGGGAGGGAAAUGAUGGGAGGAGGAAUGAGGUUGAUAGUCAAAAGGGAUGGGGGUCAGCUGGCAAUCCAGGAACAGUAGGGAUUCCUCUUUUUGCUCUCACGAAUACUGUACACAACUCCGAAAUUGAGUUCACCUCAAUACUCACAUCAGCUGUGUGUCUCCUUCAUAGGCCGUUCUGGUAGCGCACUCACAUUUGCGCAUGUCACACAUCUACCUGGAUAACAGGAACAUUUAUUUUCUAAUCACUAACAUGUAGCAAAAUAAACAACUUCACAUUCCUAAAAGCUCCAAAUGUGUGCCAGGAUAACUGGCACACAUUUUGUUUGUACCCUAGGAUCAUUGGCUAAUCCACGCGACCCUGUCUUGAGGAUGAUUCCCUGUUCAAAAUCCAGUUUAGUCCUUUGAAAGAGGAAACACAGGGCUCAACAAUGAAAAUCUUUACUACUACUGCUGCACAGACACUGAGAAAUAUUCUGUGCUGAAAAGGGAUUGCUAGGCAGGUUUGUCUCCCAGUGCCCCUACUGUAGGUUUUCUCAUGAGAAGCAUUUUCACAUGUUUUCACACAAAUCAAAGAUGGUGGAUUUCUGUUUCAGUUUCACUGCUGUACAAGGAUCAGCUGUACUUUUCUUUAUAAUGAGUUAAAACGGCUGCUCUGAAAAGGCCUCUUGUGCUUUUGCAGACAGAGAAGUUGCCCAGUGGUGGUAUUUGUUGUAAAGGAAAUGAAUAAUGGACCCAAAGCAAUUCUUUUUUCCUUUUUCUUUCUUUCUUUCUUUCUUUUUUUUGGUGCUGCACAUACACUGAAUUUAAAUUUUUGAAAGAUAAUAAUGCAGUCAGCGUGGUCGGGUUGGUAGUCCAUGUAUGCAACCAGUAAAUGAAUGUUUCUGUGAUACGUGGCUCUUCAGACAUCAACGUUGUGCACCGUGAUGAUUUGACCUUAUUUAGCACUGCACUCCUGUAACAUUGUUCAGUCAUGAUGUAUGGGUUUGCAAACAGGAUCAAAAACCUUGCAGCAGACUAAGAAUUAGAAUAUCUAUAUAUUUCUAUUCCAUACUGUUUUUUCCUUGUCAAAUCUUGGCAUCUACAUUAGCUACUAUGCAACUCAUUUCUUGGCAGUUUGCUCAGAGAUUUGGGCGUGAUCUUUGGUUGGGCCUCCAGCCACUAGCCUCAAGUAGAGAUGAAGAGCCAGCUCACCUCUUUCCACAACUGGCCACAACUGAUACUGAGUCAAGGAGCAUCACUUUAGGCUGUCCAUAGCAUGUUUUCUUUCUUCUUCUCCACACUGCACGUAGGCAUGCAAUCUACAGAAAUAACCUCCCAAGAUCUGUAAACACACCUCGGUGUGCAAAUCGAAGCAUUCCACCCCGUAAGAUUUCAUUCUGUGUAACCGUUUGAUAUAGGCUUAGGACCAGUGUUGCAUGUUAUUCUGCUGUAACUAUAAAAUAAAUAUAGGAUGAAAUUAGAACAAAUUUGGUUGUCAGAAUUGACAGGGGUUGCAGAGCACCAGCCAUGUUUGUUCAGCUGUGAAAGACAGAAUCAAAGUGUCUGCAGUGGCAGAAAGAACCUUGAAUUUUGGAACUUUUUGUGAAAAUUGCAUCUUGAUCUGAACGUGCACGCAGCAGUAGUCAAACAUGGAAUAUGCCAUCUUGAUUUAUUUUUUUUCCAGAAGGCUUUCUAAUACCUCAGAGUGCUUGCUGUGGAUUGCAAUGGAUCGGGAAAGAUUCAUUUUGGUCUCCGAGUGAAGAACAAACUGCUUCGAAAUUGUCUGUAAAGAUAUUUAUUGUAACUUAAACAGUAAAAUCAAGUAAAAUUCUGGAACCACUUAUGUAAAAUGACUAAAUAGCGAGUUCUCCUCCAGGCACGUAUGAACACUACAGACUCUGCUGUCACUGCAUGUAAAUAAUGAAUUCGGAUGAUUUCAGUUAGAUUGUACUCAUAUCUUGUGAAUCUGAGUCUACAUGCCCUUCAUUGCAUUUUAAUAUAUGCUAGUAAAGCAAAGUGAGCACAAGAAUAGCUGUGGGAUGGCGUUGGCAGCCUAUCAUUAUGUAUAUAGAAUUUUUUCUUUAGCACAGUUCUUUCAUAUAUAUAUAUGAAAAAAACACAGUAAGUGAAUGUGGAGGCUUUGAGAUGCACGUCUUUUCUUUAUGCUCACAUAAGCUUUUACAUUUAUUGUCUCUCUAUCAAGUGAAAUCGAUACAUAUUGCCGACGCUGAGUACUACCAUGCUGUAGAAAUGUUUAUGACCAUGAGCAACAUUCCUCCUUCUGUUGCUCUUUGUGUACCUCCAUCCUGUCUCCUACAGCCUCAGUUCUGGCUCUCCAUCCCUCCCUCCUCUCUUCUCAUCCCUACUGCCUCCUUCUUGCUUUCUCACACACAUGCACGCACACACACCCACAAACACACACGCACACACACACACACACACUCUCUCCCUUUCUUCAGCCUCCUCACAGUCCAGAUGGCCUAACUGCCCCCACACUCACUCCCCCACAUACACUCAGUCCACCAUGCGCUCCACCCCACUCCUCCUCUCCCCCUACGGGAACAGCACUCC